RNAcentral lists this unclassified non-coding RNA (335 nucleotides) under soil metagenome. Its description in RNAcentral is "partial contains 5.8S ribosomal RNA, internal transcribed spacer 2, and large subunit ribosomal RNA". The stretch from base 1 to 120 matches the Rfam family "5.8S ribosomal RNA", at positions 35 to 154 of the family's 154-position model. The record is from RNAcentral.
GAUGAAGAACGUAGCGAAAUGCGAUAAGUAGUGUGAAUUGCAGAAUUCAGUGAAUCAUCGAAUCUUUGAACGCACAUUGCGCCCUUUGGUAUUCCUUAGGGCAUGCCUGUUCGAGCGUCAUUUAAACCUUCAAGCUCAGCUUGGUGAUGGGUGACUGUCCUCCCCUCGCGGGGGGACUCGCCUCAAAAACAUUGGCGGCCGGUACAUUGGCUUCGAGCGCAGCAGAAACGCGGUCUCGAGCCCGGUGGAUCGGCUCCCAUAAGUCUAUGCUUUUAUUUUGACCUCGGAUCAGGUAGGGAUACCCGCUGAACUUAAGCAUAUCAAUAAGCGGAGGA